AGAGUUUGAUCCUGGCUCAGGAUGAACGCUGGCGGCGUGCCUAAUACAUGCAAGUCGAACGAGGUGCUUUUGUAGCAAUACGAGAGUAUCCUAGUGGCGAACGGGUGAGUAACGCGUUGGUGACCUACCCCAAAGUGUGAGAUAACAGUCCGAAAGGAUUGCUAAUACCGCAUGUGGUUAUUGGAUUUAGAAACUGAUAACUAAAGGAGCAAUUCGCUUUGGGAGGGACCUGCGUCCCAUCAGCUAGUUGGUGAGGUAACGGCUCACCAAGGCUACGACGGGUAGGGGACCUGAGAGGGUGGCCCCCCACAAUGGAACUGAAACACGGUCCAUACACCUACGGGUGGCAGCAGUAGGGAAUAUUGCACAAUGGGCGAAAGCCUGAUGCAGCAACGCCGCGUGUGCGAUGAAGGCCUUCGGGUCGUAAAGCACUUUUCUGAGAGAUGAGAAAGGACAGUCUCUCAGGAAUAAGUCUCGGCUAACUACGUGCCAGCAGCCGCGGUA
Molecule: ribosomal RNA, 504 nt
Filed under: uncultured Chloroflexota bacterium
Lineage: Bacteria; Bacillati; Chloroflexota
Description: bacterial SSU rRNA
Rfam family: Bacterial small subunit ribosomal RNA
Source: RNAcentral